This is a non-coding RNA of Brachypodium distachyon (stiff brome), 149 nucleotides long. NCBI's taxonomy places the organism in Eukaryota, Viridiplantae, Streptophyta, Magnoliopsida, Poales, Poaceae. The record is from Rfam.
GGCCUGAUGCCACGUCUCCAGUAGCUACGUGCACUGACUGCAGAUGCUAUGAUUGGGCCAACAAAGAGUCGUUUGGUGUCUCACAUGUUGAUAGGAACCUGGGAUUGCAUUCCAAUCAGUCUACAGAGCCGGUUAUUGUGAUUACAUCU